UGUGUGGAGGUGUAGGUGU
RNAcentral lists this non-coding RNA (19 nucleotides) under Rattus norvegicus (Norway rat). The record is from RNAcentral. Lineage: Eukaryota; Metazoa; Chordata; Mammalia; Rodentia; Muridae.